RNAcentral lists this ribosomal RNA (451 nucleotides) under uncultured bacterium. RNAcentral describes it as "partial 16S ribosomal RNA". It matches the Rfam family "Bacterial small subunit ribosomal RNA", at positions 354 to 796 of the family's 1533-position model. The record is from RNAcentral.
GUGGGGAAUAUUGGACAAUGGGGGGAACCCUGAUCCAGCCAUGCCGCGUGUGUGAAGAAGGCCUUUUGGUUGUAAAGCACUUUAAGCGAGGAGGAGGCUACCGAGAUUAAUACUCUUGGAUAGUGGACGUUACUCGCAGAAUAAGCACCGGCUAACUCUGUGCCAGCAGCCGCGGUAAUACAGAGGGUGCAAGCGUUAAUCGGAUUUACUGGGCGUAAAGCGCGCGUAGGUGGCCAAUUAAGUCAAAUGUGAAAUCCCCGAGCUUAACUUGGGAAUUGCAUUCGAUACUGGUUGGCUAGAGUAUGGGAGAGGAUGGUAGAAUUCCAGGUGUAGCGGUGAAAUGCGUAGAGAUCUGGAGGAAUACCGAUGGCGAAGGCAGCCAUCUGACCUAAUACUGACACUGAGGUGCGAAAGCAUGGGGAGCAAACAGGAUUAGAAACCCGUGUAGUCC